Non-coding RNA from Cynoglossus semilaevis (tongue sole), 154 nucleotides. The record is from Ensembl. NCBI's taxonomy places the organism in Eukaryota, Metazoa, Chordata, Actinopteri, Pleuronectiformes, Cynoglossidae.
GUGGUCUAAGGGAGUGUGCAGCAGUGUGUCAGUCGACCGUACGCUGCAGCCGCCCCCACAUGGACCUAUACUAUAACAGGAGUUGAUCCUGGCAGUUGCAGGUGUGAGCAUUCAUCCAGUUGACUGAUGUUCAUGUAUGAUACUGCACACAGAA